Molecule: ribosomal RNA, 447 nt
Filed under: uncultured bacterium
Lineage: Bacteria
Description: partial 16S ribosomal RNA
Rfam family: Bacterial small subunit ribosomal RNA
Source: RNAcentral
UGGGGAAUAUUGCACAAUGGGCGCAAGCCUGAUGCAGCCAUGCCGCGUGUGUGAAGAAGGCCUUCGGGUUGUAAAGCACUUUCAGCGAGGAGGAAAGGUGGUGAGCUUAAUACGCUCAUCAAUUGACGUUACUCGCAGAAGAAGCACCGGCUAACUCCGUGCCAGCAGCCGCGGUAAUACGGAGGGUGCAAGCGUUAAUCGGAAUUACUGGGCGUAAAGCGCACGCAGGCAGGUUUGUUAAGUCAGAUGUGAAAUCCCCGGGCUCAACCUGGGAACUGCAUUUGAAACUGGCAAGCUAGAGUCUCGUAGAGGGGGGUAGAAUUCCAGGUGUAGCGGUGAAAUGCGUAGAGAUCUGGAGGAAUACCGGUGGCGAAGGCGGCCCCCUGGACGAAGACUGACGCUCAGGUGCGAAAGCGUGGGGAGCAAAACAGGAUUAGAUACCCUGGU